RNAcentral lists this ribosomal RNA (446 nucleotides) under uncultured bacterium. RNAcentral's name for it is "SSU rRNA". It matches the Rfam family "Bacterial small subunit ribosomal RNA", at positions 26 to 518 of the family's 1533-position model. The record is from RNAcentral.
AGAGCGAACGCUGGCGGCAGGCCUAACACAUGCAAGUCGAGCGCCCGUAGCAAUACGGGAGCGGCAGACGGGAUAGUAACACGUGGGAACGCGCCCUUCGGUUCGGAAUAACUCAGGGAAACUUGAGCUAAUACCGAAUACGCCCUUACGGGGAAAGAUUUAUUGCCGAAGGAACGGCCCGCGUCCGAUUAGCUAGUUGGUGAGGUAAUGGCUCACCAAGGCUACGAUCGGUAGCUGGUCUGAGAGGAUGACCAGCAUCACUGGGACUGAGACACGGCCCAGACUCCUACGGGAGGCAGCAGUGGGGAAUAUUGGACAAUGGGCGCAAGCCUGAUCCAGCCAUGCCGCGUGGAUGAUGAAGGCCUUAGGGUUGUAAGUCCUUUUAACGGGGAAGAUAAUGACGGUACCCGUAGAAUAAGCCCGGCUAACUUCGUGCCAGCAGCCGC